RNAcentral lists this ribosomal RNA (434 nucleotides) under uncultured bacterium. RNAcentral describes it as "bacterial SSU rRNA". It matches the Rfam family "Bacterial small subunit ribosomal RNA", at positions 43 to 519 of the family's 1533-position model. The record is from RNAcentral.
CAGGCCUAACACAUGCAAGUCGCACGGGCAGCUUCGGUUGUCAGUGGCGGACGGGUGAGUAACGCGUAGGGAUUUGUCGUUGGGUGGGGGAUAACCUUGGGAAACUGGGGCUAAUACCGCAUGACGCCUGUGGGCCAAAGCAGUGAUGCGCCUGACGAGAAGCCUGCGUUCGAUUAGCUUGUUGGUGGGGUAAAGGCCUACCAAGGCGACGAUCGAGAGCUGGGAUGAGAGGAUGAUCAGCCACACUGGGACUGAGACACGGCCCAGACGCUGACGGGAGGCAGCAGUGGGGAAGAUUGGACAAUGGGCGCAAGCCUGAGCCAGCAAUGCCGCGUGGAUGAAGAAGGUUUUCGGAUUGGAAAGGCCUUUCGGCGGGGACGAUGAUGACGGAACCCGCAGAAGAAGCCCCGGCGAACUGAGUGCCAGCAGCCGCG